AUUGAACGCUGGCGGCAUGCCUUACACAUGCAAGUCGAACGGCAGCAUGGGUGCUUGCACCUGAUGGCGAGUGGCGAACGGGUGAGUAAUGCAUCGGAACGUACCCGGAAGUGGGGAUAACGUAGCGAAAGUUACGCCAAUACCGCAUAUUCUGUGAGCAGGAAAGCGGGGGAUCGCAAGACCUCGCGCUUCCGGAGCGGCCGAUGUCGGAUUAGCUAGUUGGCGGGGUAAAGGCCCACCAAGGCGACGAUCCGUAGCGGGUCUGAGAGGAUGAUCCGCCACACUGGGACUGAGACACGGCCCAGACUCCUACGGGAGGCAGCAGUGGGGAAUUUUGGACAAUGGGCGCAAGCCUGAUCCAGCCAUGCCGCGUGAGUGAAGAAGGCCUCGGUUGUAAGACUC
RNAcentral lists this ribosomal RNA (402 nucleotides) under uncultured bacterium. RNAcentral's name for it is "bacterial SSU rRNA". It matches the Rfam family "Bacterial small subunit ribosomal RNA", at positions 29 to 433 of the family's 1533-position model. The record is from RNAcentral.